Non-coding RNA from Cricetulus griseus (Chinese hamster), 2249 nucleotides. The record is from RefSeq and is a predicted model, not a curated record. NCBI's taxonomy places the organism in Eukaryota, Metazoa, Chordata, Mammalia, Rodentia, Cricetidae.
CAGACUCAGAACCCGCAGAGGGUGCGCUCGGAGAGGUCCGAGCUCCUAUUGGUUGGAGACCACACCGCAACGUCGCGCGUACGCACGCAGCACGCACAGCAGAGGCGUAAGGCCCGGGGCCGUUAAAAAAUGGCGACCGUCACUGAGCUGAAAGCUGUUUUAAAGGACACCUUGGAAAAAAAGGGAGUGUUAGGACAUUUAAAAGCAAGGAUCCGUGCUGAAAUUUUCAACGCCCUGGAUGACGAUCACGAACCCCGCCCAUCAUUGUCUCAUGAAAACCUUCUGAUUAAUGAAUUAAUUAGGGAGUAUUUGGAAUUCAACAAAUAUAAGUACACAGCCUCUGUCCUCAUGGCAGAAUCUGGCCAACCCAUAGUGCCAUUGGACAGACAGUUUCUCAUCCGUGAACUAAAUGCCUUUGAAGAAUCAAAGGAUAACUCAAUUCCUCUGUUAUAUGGAAUUUUAGCCCAUUUCUUGCGUGGUCCUCCAGAUGGCAUGCAGAACGUGCUGCAGACUGAGUCGACACUCCAACCUCCAAACAGGCAUCCCAGCUGGAAGCCCAACAGAAGACCAAAUGGGAUCAAAGUUGGGGAUCAGACUAUGUGGCAAGCAUCUUUACCCACUAAGCCAUCUUGCAAGCUUUAAAAGCACUUUCCAGUCAAAGGGAAGCCAGAGCUUCAGGCCCAGAGCAGCAUCAGUGAGAGACCCCAAUUACAGCCCAAAAGCAGCAUCAAAGGAAGACUGGAGCUUAAGACCUGGAGCAGCAUCAAGGAAGCCACGAGUCUCAGACCCAGGAGCAAUGUCAAAGAGAGGUUCGAGCUUCAGGCCCUGAGCAUCAUCAAGGGAGCCACCAACCCCUAGACCUGGGAGCAGUGUCAGAGGGAGGCCCAGGAGUGAGGAAUCAUCACCUGGUGAGACAACAGCACUGGUUUCCAGCAGUAGCUUCCAGAAACUAUUGCAAGAAGUUCCUUGGGGAAGAGCACAUGUAUCUCAGCCAGCAUCCACUUCCAUUUCUCGGUUGGAGAUAUCCCACUACUACAUAGACCACUGGACCCUCAGCACCACCUACACCUCCAACAGGAGGAGCAUCCACUGUAGCCAUACCUGCAUCUCAAGGAGUGACCACGUGAGCAUUAGGACCACUUCCACCAGGAGGACCGUUCACCAGAAGAAGCUCUGCUCUACUUGUGCCUGAAGGAGUAGUCAACAGAGCCACAACCCCCAACUGUACAAAUUGGAGAAAGAGAGAACACCUGAAGCACAAGUUCCACCUAUACUGAUGAGAAAGAGAAGCAUAGACAAUAAGACAACCACCUGAGGAAGGACACGGGGCUGAGCACCAUGACUGAAGAGCUUCAUGCUGCUGUGCAAGCAGUCAGUAGAUGAUGCAUGCACCAGGCAGGCUCCUGAUCUCAGCUGUGCAUGUGGAGUAAUAACUUCUUAUUCCCAAUCCCAUCAAUGAGACCACCAUUGUUUGUAAACAUGUGAGCUUCUAUAUAUUCAGCCCCUCAAGGUUUACUGCACCUGUGAAAAGCUCAUCCAUAUUCUCGCUUGCUGGAAGCCACUGGAGAAAAAAAAUGUAUGAUUUUCAGGAUGUAUUUUUAAAGUUCCUAAGUUCCUUUUUUGCCCCUUUUUGUACAGGCCAUCUCUAAGGGCUGUGGGUGUACCUCCAGUAAAGCCUUGCAGGUGUGAGACCCUUCGUUCAGUCCCAGCCCCUCGGAAAAGAAUACAGAGGGCAGAUCUUUGUCCAUAUGCUCUACUCAUUAAAUUUCCUUCAGCUAGUUAUAUAGACCUGUGGGAAAACUCAUUCACGUUUUGAAAAAAUAUUUAAAGGGCAUUAAAACCAGAACUUAUUCCUAUAAAGUUUUUUUUUGUUUGUUUUGUUUUUGUUUCUGUUUUGUUUUGUUUUUUAAGAAAUAUCUGAAUUACUGUCUGCCCUGGCUAAUUUUAUCUCAGCUUGACACAAGCUAAAGUCAUUUGGGAAGAGGAACUCUCAAUUGAGAAAAUCCCUCCAUUUGAUUGAUUUACGGGCAAGCCUUCUUAUUCAUGGUUGAUGUGGGAGGGUCCAGCCCAUUGUUGGUGGUGUCACCCCUGGGCAGUUGGUCCUGAGUUCAGUAAGAAAGCAGGUUGAGCAAGCCAUGGGGAGCAAGUCAGUGUGUAGCACCCCUCUGUGGUAUUUCUCCCUGACUUCACUCAGUGGUGGCUUGUGAUGUGGAACUGUAUGCUGAAAUAAACCCUCUUCUUCCCAAGUU